Molecule: non-coding RNA, 98 nt
Organism: Acanthosepion pharaonis
Lineage: Eukaryota; Metazoa; Mollusca; Cephalopoda; Sepiida; Sepiidae
Source: the annotation of a GenBank genome assembly
GUUGAAACAUUGGUUCCCAUACAAACACCAAAGUUAAGUAACAUCAAGCCUGGUCAGUACCUAGAUGGGUGACUGCUUGAGAAUACUAGGUAGUGUAA